GUGGGGAAUCUUAGACAAUGGGGGCAACCCUGAUCUAGCCAUGCCGCGUGAGUGAUGAAGGCCUUAGGGUUGUAAAGCUCUUUCAGCUGGGAAGAUAAUGACGGUACCAGCAGAAGAAGCCCCGGCUAACUCCGUGCCAGCAGCCGCGGUAAUACGGAGGGGGCUAGCGUUGUUCGGAAUUACUGGGCGUAAAGCGCACGUAGGCGGACUGGAAAGUCAGAGGUGAAAUCCCAGGGCUCAACCUUGGAACUGCCUUUGAAACUAUCAGUCUGGAGUUCGAGAGAGGUGAGUGGAAUUCCGAGUGUAGA
Molecule: ribosomal RNA, 308 nt
Filed under: Paracoccus sp. (in: a-proteobacteria)
Lineage: Bacteria; Pseudomonadati; Pseudomonadota; Alphaproteobacteria; Rhodobacterales; Paracoccaceae
Description: bacterial SSU rRNA
Rfam family: Bacterial small subunit ribosomal RNA
Source: RNAcentral